UACGAAGGGGGCUAGCGUUGUUCGGAAUCACUGGGCGUAAAGCGCACGCAGGCGGAUUGAUAAGUCAGGGGUGAAAUCCCGGAGCUCAACUUCGGAAUUGCCUUUGAUACUGUCUGUCUUGAGUCCGGGAGAGGUGAGUGGAAUUCCUAGUGUAGAGGUGAAAUUCGUAGAUAUUAGGAAGAACACCAGUGGCGAAGGCGGCUCACUGGCCCGGAACUGACGCUCAUGUGCGAAAGCGUGGGGAGCAAACAGG
This 253-nucleotide ribosomal RNA is filed under the name uncultured bacterium. Its description in RNAcentral is "partial 16S ribosomal RNA". It matches the Rfam family "Bacterial small subunit ribosomal RNA", at positions 524 to 776 of the family's 1533-position model. The record is from RNAcentral. RNAcentral also lists the same sequence under 1 other name.